This 506-nucleotide ribosomal RNA is filed under the name Heterophoma nobilis. RNAcentral's name for it is "eukaryotic LSU rRNA". The stretch from base 153 to 306 matches the Rfam family "5.8S ribosomal RNA". The record is from RNAcentral. Lineage: Eukaryota; Fungi; Ascomycota; Dothideomycetes; Pleosporales; Didymellaceae.
AAGGAUCAUUACCUAGAGUUGCGGGCUUUGCCUGCCAUCUCUUACCCAUGUCUUUUGAGUACCUUCGUUUCCUCGGCGGGUCCGCCCGCCGAAUGGACAAAACUUAAACCCUUUGUAGUUGCAAUCAGCGUCUGAACAAACUUAAUAGUUACAACUUUCAACAACGGAUCUCUUGGUUCUGGCAUCGAUGAAGAACGCAGCGAAAUGCGAUAAGUAGUGUGAAUUGCAGAAUUCAGUGAAUCAUCGAAUCUUUGAACGCACAUUGCGCCCCUUGGUAUUCCAGGGGGCAUGCCUGUUCGAGCGUCAUUUGUACCUUCAAGCUUUGCUUGGUGUUGGGUGUUUGUCUCGCCUCUGCGCGCAGACUCGCCUCAAAACAAUUGGCAGCCGGCGUAUUGAUUUCGGAGCGCAGUACAUCUCGCGCCUCGCACUCAUAACGUUGACGUCCAAAAAGUACAUUUUUUAACACUCUUGACCUCGGAUCAGGUAGGGAUACCCGCUGAACUUAA